Molecule: long non-coding RNA, 310 nt
Filed under: Androctonus crassicauda
Lineage: Eukaryota; Metazoa; Arthropoda; Arachnida; Scorpiones; Buthidae
Source: RNAcentral
CUAGUAUAAAUAAACGCGAAAGAAAUCCUAAAAUCGAUCCGGUGAUGUCGUUCUUUAUAGUGGACUGGUUUUCGCCGCUCUUCAUUCGUCGGCGGAGGCACUGGUUGGCAUGCGCUUUGUCUGCUGUUGCCUCAACAAGUGUUUCCGGGGGUUUGGGACCGUCUCUGCUUGUCUGUCAUUUGUGGCUUUUGCUUGGGGUCUUCCUUUGUGGAUUUCUGAGUUCUUGGCCACUUAUGGCUCUUCUUGGUUUUCUGCUUGUCUCACUGCCUUUGCUUGCCCCCACUUUAUGUCCACAUUGGCCUCAUGGGCU